UACGGAGGGGACUAGCGUUGCUCGGAAUCACUGGGCGUAAAGGGCGCGCAGGCGGUCGUUCAAGUCGGGUGUGAAAGCCCCCGGCUCAACUGGGGAGGGUCACGCGAUACUGAUCGACUCGAAGGCAGGAGAGGGUAGUGGAAUUCCCGGUGUAGUGGUGAAAUUCGUAGAUAUUAGGAAGAACACCGGUGGCGAAGGCGGCCCACUGGCUCGACACUGACGCUGAGGUGCGAAAGCGUGGGGAGCAAACAGG
RNAcentral lists this ribosomal RNA (253 nucleotides) under uncultured bacterium. RNAcentral's name for it is "partial 16S ribosomal RNA". It matches the Rfam family "Bacterial small subunit ribosomal RNA", at positions 524 to 776 of the family's 1533-position model. The record is from RNAcentral.